RNAcentral lists this long non-coding RNA (771 nucleotides) under Chinchilla lanigera (long-tailed chinchilla). RNAcentral's name for it is "lncRNA (ENSCLAG00000024884.1)". The record is from RNAcentral. Lineage: Eukaryota; Metazoa; Chordata; Mammalia; Rodentia; Chinchillidae.
GUGAGGGGCUGACCAGGGACAGUGCCCGUGGAAAUGAGACGACCAACGUCCUUUAGAAUCUGUUUGGUUUCCGGCUCAGAAAGAGAAACAAAGAAAAGAAAGCUGUCAUGGAGAGCCCAUCCAUUUUCUCCUGUUUCGUCAUUUAGUCACAUGAUGCCUUCAAGGUCAUUCAGAUGUCAUGGCAACCCAUCAUGUCAAGGCUCCACUGAAGUGCACCUGAUGUAGUGAAUGCCGCCAGCGUCAACUAAAAGUAUCGCCGUCACUGCCUUCCGAAGAUAUUUCUAAUGCCUUUGAGAGAUCCAUGGCGCUGCCUUGAUGUCAUCUUGGCAUUUUCCCUUCCAGAUGCAGAUGUUGCUUAUCCACUGCUCCACUCACUGAAUCCAUUCUGUUUUCUUUUGGGGUUUGUCUUCAUUGCUUCUCUGUAGGACCCAGAUGUAAGUCCUUAGUUAUAGGACACAGGGAUGGGGAGCAGAACACGACUAGGCUCAGAAGCACUUCUUAGCACUGGUUUGUUCUGGGUCUUUUCUUAUACGUCUCAGCUCUCCCUUACCUUAUGCAUUCCAUCCUAGGAGGUACUUGGACCCCUCCAUGUGAAACUUGUCACACUGCUGGUCAUGCUAAGACAUGUCUAAAUCUCAGCAUGGAGUUUGAGCCCUCAAGGUGAAGUCCUUCCAGCUGCCUAGAUAUUCUUUCCUUUGGUGAAAUAUUAAUGAGUGUAUCACUAAGGUAAUUGAGUCAUUGUCUUCCUAACCAAUAAAAAUUCCAGCUUGG